AUUGAACGCUGGCGGCAGGCCUAACACAUGCAAGUCGAGCGGAUGAAGGGAGCUUGCUCCUGGAUUCAGCGGCGGACGGGUGAGUAAUGCCUAGGAAUCUGCCUGGUAGUGGGGGAUAACGUCCGGAAACGGGCGCUAAUACCGCAUACGUCCUGAGGGAGAAAGUGGGGGAUCUUCGGACCUCACGCUAUCAGAUGAGCCUAGGUCGGAUUAGCUAGUUGGUGGGGUAAAGGCCUACCAAGGCGACGAUCCGUAACUGGUCUGAGAGGAUGAUCAGUCACCCGGGACCUGAAACGGGCCCAAGACCCCUCGGGGGGGGAGCGGGGGGGAAUUGGGAGCAGGGGGGGAAAUCUGUACCCCCCGCUCCGGGGUGUGUGAAAAGGUUCUUGGGUUUGAAAGCAAUUUUAAGUGGGGGGAAAGGGAAUUAAGUUAAUACCUUGCUUUUUUGACGUUACCAAAAAAAAAAGCCCCGGCUAACUUCGUG
This 484-nucleotide ribosomal RNA is filed under the name uncultured bacterium. Its description in RNAcentral is "partial 16S ribosomal RNA". It matches the Rfam family "Bacterial small subunit ribosomal RNA", at positions 30 to 507 of the family's 1533-position model. The record is from RNAcentral.